Non-coding RNA from Oryza punctata, 205 nucleotides. The record is from Rfam. Lineage: Eukaryota; Viridiplantae; Streptophyta; Magnoliopsida; Poales; Poaceae.
UUUAAGUGCGGUUAUGAGGUUUUCUAUCCAAUAUUUGACCGUCUAUCUUAUUUGAAUUUUUUUAUGAAUAAUACUUUUAUUGUUAUUAGAUGAUAAAACAUAAAUAGUACUUUAUGCGUGACUUAUUUUUUAAUUUUUUCAUAAAUUUAUUAAAAUAAGACGAACGUUCGAACGUUGGAUAUGGAAACCCACAACUGUGCUUGAA